UGUUGAGGUCGUCGUGUCCGCCCUUCGCCUCGCUCUCGCCGCGCUCAGCGGUUCCUUCCGUGGGUCUGCUUUCCUUCCCCGUCCGCUCAUCAGAUCUCACAAUUCGACGGUUCCUCUGCUUGGCUUCCCUGCCUCGCCCCGCCCCGCCUCCUCUCCCUCGCCUCCCACCUGCCUUCUCGCGCGGUCCUCUCCCUUGGCGUCGCCGCCGCACUCGCCUCCCUGUCUCGCUUGCCGACGCUGCCCUCGCCCUCCGCGUCUCGCUCGACGGCCUCGCCGGGCCGCCGUCCCGCACGCGCUGCCCUCGCCUCCCCUUCUCGUUCGCCGGCGCCGCCGCCACGCCCUCUCCGCCCCAUCCCGCUCACCGGGAACGGCCCCCUCCCCUGCGCCCGCCCCCUCGGUCUCCCGACGCGGACCAAGCGAGGCGCGGUCCGCGCGGCCGCCGUCCCUCGCCUCCGCCCCUGCAGCCGUCCUCGCCGACCUCGCCGCGCGGCCAUCCUCCCGGCGCGGAUCCACCACUCGCACCGCCUCCGCCCCUGCAGCCGUCCUCGCCGACCUCGCCGCGCGGCCAUCCUCCCGGCGCGGAUCCACCACUCGCACCGCCUCCGCCCCUGCAGCCGUCCUCGCCGACCUCGCAGCGCGGUCGUCCUCCCGGCGCGGAUCCACCAAGCGUGGUGCGCGCGGUCGUCGUCCCCGAAGCUCGGCCGCCUUCCGUCGCGCCCGCCUCGCCCCCGCCUCGCGUGAGUGCCGGCACACGUAAAGAUCAAUUAGCAGCUAGGGAGCUGGGCAUCCGCGCUGCCGCCUGCUCCUUCAAUCCUGUGGCGCCCUGCUUCCAUCCAUUCUGCCCAUCCCGCUCACCGGGAACGAGGAGGAACUGAGGGCGCGGCGCCGCUCUCUCCCUCCCCGUUGCGCUGCGGUCGCGCCCCCUCCCCCGCGUCCGUCCCCUCUGCCGCCUCUCAUCUCAGCUUGGCAUCCACAUCGCCAGGACAACAAGGACACCUCCGAGGACAUCAUAGCUGUGCCCAACAACCACGGGAUUAGAAGUGAGUUCUUUGCAUUGUCAUCCUCUUCCGUUUAGAUUCAUGAAUCUUUUAUAUGGGUCCUUAAUUAUGAGUUCAGAAUUCUAAUAAUAGAGUUGGUGGGGAAGCAUGCAUGCCAUAUAAUAUAAAAGGUGAGAUCAGGUUCUUGGUUAUAAUUAUGCACCUUUGGUUUAUAUGGUGAAUUUAUCAUUAAUGUGAAAACUUAGCACGAGAAAAUCUCUGUAUUCAUCAAGACAAUGGAACGAAUCAUGAUGAUGGUUGAUAAAAGAAGUGCUGCCAUUGCCAGAUGCACAGAGUGCUUGAGCCUUAUUAUCUACCAUUAAUUAUGUGUGUCUCACCGAUUCUUUUCUUUCUUCCAAUAAAAUAGAUUUGUGAUACAUGUAUUUUGUCACAAAUGCUACCUGUUUGGUGUAAUUAUUUCUAAUCAUUCCAGUACUAAACUGAUUAGUUUGUCUAUUAACAGGAUGUGAGUGGUUCAAAGAAAAAAAUAUUGAGUUAACCAUUGUUAGGCAACCUGUUGGUUUGGGAGUGGGUCGAAUUAAUAAAAUUGCUUGAAUCCUAAUACAACCACUUUGAUGAGUAGCAAUGUUGCAUAUCAUCUUGCUAGGGACAAAAAUAAAGAAAAGCCACAACUUGGUAAAAGGCAUGAGGCUGAGCAAUAUUCGUUGUCCAGGCUAUAGAGUAACCUGCACGGCAUCGCUACUCUUUUUAGGGUUUCAAUUCCAACUAGAUAGGCUUAUAAACAACCAGAUACCACUCUCUUUUUAUGGUGGAAGUAUUGUAUCCUCACGGAUCAGUACCCAUGGUGGAAGCAUUGAUGGCUCAAAAUUUAUACCCACUCAAAAACAUACUAAGUGAUGCGUUCUUGAUUCUGAAAUUUCAAUCUUACAUGCAAGCAGCCCUACACAUUUUGUUGAUCACUGAAGAAUCAUUCUACACAUUUCGUUACAGCGAUCUGUAGCUGCAGAUGAAGACAAGUGAUGAUGAUGCUUGUGUGCUGACGCAGGUAUUCCUACUUAUAUGCUUGAAUGCUUCUCCAUUGCAUCUAAUAUUUGCAUGGCAUGCUUUAUUCACGUCUUUUCUGUCCUGAGUGGUGAAUAUUGAUGGAAAUAUGAAAAAAAAUUGGUUGAGUAUACAACAGUUCAUAAGUCAUGGUGACCAUUGUAACACAUCUCCAGUGAUAAGCAUGGUGAGUAAGCUAUCGCCUGCUGAUAUUGGUUAACUGGUUAUGUGUUUUAAUGGGUUUCCAGUAAUCUUCUCGAUAUGUUUUGUAUCAUAUAUGAUCAAUAAUUUGUUGUUUCAAUAGUGGUUCUGCGAUAUAUGAUGCUUCUUUACACCUUUUGGAUUUUUGUUUGGGAGUUUUGGGUGCAGUUAGCCAUGGAAGUGGUUCUGCGAAUGAGAUUUUGUGGCCAUUGUUCUGCCAAGCUUGCUGAUUAUUCCAUUUCAGUAAAGAUGAGGUUAUUCAUGAGUCUAUUGCCAAGCUGCCGGCAGGAUGUAGCUCUGUGUAUCAGGUCUUUUGGACGGAAAGUACAAUGUCCUCCCUCAACAGUCAUGCUGAAUGGUGGGGAAGCAGCGAGGAAGUCAUUUGUAGAAAGAUGCAUUCUCAUCUAUCAUGCCAAACGUAUCGCUUAUCUAGAAUGCCUUAGCAAUCCUAGCACAAAUCUAAAUGUCUAUGUCGAUAGCAAUCUCUAUGUUGUAUUUUGGUUGAAUACUUUGAUAUGGAUAUCUACUUGGUUGUUUGAUUUGCAUCAUGAUUUGUCUCUGUA
This is an RNA transcript of Panicum virgatum (switchgrass), 2803 nucleotides long. RefSeq lists it as uncharacterized. NCBI's taxonomy places the organism in Eukaryota, Viridiplantae, Streptophyta, Magnoliopsida, Poales, Poaceae. The transcript has 3 exons. The record is from RefSeq and is a predicted model, not a curated record.